GGCACCUGAUGGCGCGACGCCGCGUGGGGGAUGAAGGUCUUCGGAUUGUAAACUCCUGUCAUUGGGGACUAAUGGCCAGGCUCAUACCCUGGUUUGAAUUAACCCAAAGAGGAAGCAGUGGCUAACUCUGUGCCAGCAGCCGCGGUAAUACAGAGACUGCAAGCGUUACUCGGAUUCACUGGGCGUAAAGGGAGCGCAGGCGGACUCGUGUGUCUGACGUGAAAUACCGGGGCUUAACCCCGGUGCUGCGUAAGAAACUACGAGUCUAGAGACUUGGAGGGGUAAGCGGAAUUCUUGGUGGAGCAGUGAAAUGCGUAGAUAUCAAGAGGAACACCAACGGCGAAGGCAGCUUACUGGACAAGAUCUGACGCUCAGGCUCGAAAGCGUGGGGAGCAAAAGGGAUUAGAUACCCCUGUAGUCCACGCUGUAAACGGUGCGCAUUAGGUCUUGGAGCUUUCGAACGCUCCAGGGCUCAAGCUAACGCAUUAAAUGCGCCGCCUGAGGACUACGGCCGCAAGGCCUAAAACUCAAAGGAAUUGACGGGGGCCCGGACAAGCGGUGGAGCAUGUGGC
This 572-nucleotide ribosomal RNA is filed under the name uncultured bacterium. Its description in RNAcentral is "bacterial SSU rRNA". It matches the Rfam family "Bacterial small subunit ribosomal RNA", at positions 378 to 945 of the family's 1533-position model. The record is from RNAcentral.